RNAcentral lists this ribosomal RNA (85 nucleotides) under Staphylococcus agnetis. Its description in RNAcentral is "partial 16S ribosomal RNA". It matches the Rfam family "Bacterial small subunit ribosomal RNA", at positions 1 to 84 of the family's 1533-position model. The record is from RNAcentral. Lineage: Bacteria; Bacillati; Bacillota; Bacilli; Caryophanales; Staphylococcaceae.
CUUUUAUGGAGAGUUUGAUCCUGGCUCAGGAUGAACGCUGGCGGCGUGCCUAAUACAUGCAAGUCGAGCGAACUGACGAGGAGCU